AAGAGAGUAGCCUUUCACAUCAACAGAGCAAACACGCUCCAGUAACUUGGUAGCAACAUCAGCAUGCAAAGCAAUAGAGAACUCAUCUGGCUCGAAACAUGCCAGCACCCUCUCAACCAGGGGACCCAGCUUCAUGGUUUUCAUGUCAUACCCAACUGCUUCAAAGCUAGCAUAGCUAAAGCCAUCUUCCGGGGUAAUGUGAAUGGUUGAGAGUGCAGCUCCUUCAAUUGAAUUCAUGGAAUAACCACAGGGUUCAAACUCAAAAUCGCAUAUCUCAGAAUUGGGGAGGAUCUUCCUUAUCCCAGAUCGAACAGUCAUAUGAGCAGCCGAGCUUCCUUCAGUCUUGUAAAAGACAGAUGCCUUCUCCCUGUCCAAACCAGUCAUACACAUCUCAAGAGUGUAAACAGGGUCAUUAGACUGAAUAGGUCCUGCAGAGGCAGAGUAAACAUGCCAUUUCUGUGCUUUGUCAGGACUGCCCAUAAUCACAGCCUUGCUACCGGCAGCAAGCUUUCCAAAAUAGCCAUCGAGGACAGCAACUUCUUCAGAAAAGUGACGGUGAGGAAACGACUGAGCGCCAGGGAAAAUGAAGCUCCCACGGGUAUACCUCACGUCUUGUACUUUGAGAGACAGGGUCUCAGCCAACUUUAGGAUGGGCGGAAUUGCGAGAAGCAACUUUGUGGUGCCACAGGUUUUGAUGAUUAUCUUGUAAGAAUAAACAAAGAGGCUCGACUCGGAGAGGACAUAAGAAUCAACAUCGUCAUUUGAUAGGGAAUCAACAAUGGUGCACUCAGCAGGUCCGAGAAUCUCAUCCAAUUGUGCCUUUGAGAGAGAUCGAAGUCCUUUUCCGUUGGGAUCAGCAAACAGACCAGGCUCGAAGAAAGAAAUUUCAAGCCUCUUCUCGAAACCUUCAAAACCAAUGGCAGAGACAGGCAAGGCCAUAUCCAUGAUGAAAAAUGUUCACAGCAGCAAAAGAAGUUAAAGAGGAAAAUGUUCCGAGCAAUGAGCACAAAAGCAGAAAGUAGAAAAGGAAGGAAGAAAAGGAGUGAGGGCGCAAAAGAAACUGAAAGCAGAAAUUUUUUUUGUUUUUUUUUUGGGUUGCGUCUAUU
RNAcentral lists this long non-coding RNA (1106 nucleotides) under Nicotiana tabacum (common tobacco). RNAcentral describes it as "long non-coding RNA (NTAB_LNC003806)". The record is from RNAcentral. Lineage: Eukaryota; Viridiplantae; Streptophyta; Magnoliopsida; Solanales; Solanaceae.